This 253-nucleotide ribosomal RNA is filed under the name uncultured bacterium. RNAcentral describes it as "partial 16S ribosomal RNA". It matches the Rfam family "Bacterial small subunit ribosomal RNA", at positions 524 to 776 of the family's 1533-position model. The record is from RNAcentral.
UACGAAGGGGGCUAGCGUUGCUCGGAAUUACUGGGCGUAAAGGGCGCGUAGGCGGAUAGUUUAGUCAGAGGUGAAAGCCCAGGGCUCAACCUUGGAAUUGCCUUUGAUACUGGCUAUCUUGAGUUCGGGAGAGGUGAGUGGAAUGCCGAGUGUAGAGGUGAAAUUCGUAGAUAUUCGCAAGAACACCAGUGGCGAAGGCGGCUCACUGGCCCGGUACUGACGCUGAGGUGCGAAAGCCAGGGGAGCGAACGGG